Molecule: ribosomal RNA, 500 nt
Filed under: uncultured bacterium
Lineage: Bacteria
Description: bacterial SSU rRNA
Rfam family: Bacterial small subunit ribosomal RNA
Source: RNAcentral
GACGAACGCUGGCGGCGUGCCUAAUACAUGCAAGUCGAGCGGAAUGAAGAAGAAGCUUGCUUCUUCUGAUUUUAGCGGCGGACGGGUGAGUAACACGUGGGCAACCUACCUUGUAGAUUGGGAUAACUCCGGGAAACCGGGGCUAAUACCGAAUAAUCCAUUUUGCUUCAUGGCGAGAUGUUGAAAGACGGUUUCGGCUGUCACUAUAAGAUGGGCCCGCGGCGCAUUAGCUAGUUGGUAGGGUAAUGGCCUACCAAGGCGACGAUGCGUAGCCGACCUGAGAGGGUGAUCGGCCACACUGGGACUGAGACACGGCCCAGACUCCUACGGGAGGCAGCAGUAGGGAAUCUUCCACAAUGGACGAAAGUCUGAUGGAGCAACGCCGCGUGAGUGAAGAAGGUUUUCGGAUCGUAAAACUCUGUUGUAAGGGAAGAACACGUACGAGAGUAACUGCUCGUACCUUGACGGUACCUUAUUAGAAAGCCACGGCUAACUACGUG